RNAcentral lists this ribosomal RNA (515 nucleotides) under Heterocapsa orientalis. RNAcentral's name for it is "LSU rRNA". It matches the Rfam family "Eukaryotic large subunit ribosomal RNA", at positions 421 to 835 of the family's 3401-position model. The record is from RNAcentral. Lineage: Eukaryota; Dinophyceae; Peridiniales; Heterocapsaceae.
GAAUGGAACCAGUGCUUCUUGGCAAGAUUGGUGCGUGCUAAUGUGAUUUCCUGCUGCUUCAGCGCAAGCGUUGCAGUGGGCUUUGAUCAGGACGCGCGUGUUGUUUCUUGCCUUGUGUGUCAACGUCAGUUCUCGAUCGAGGAAAACGCCAGGGACAUGGUAACUCGCCCCCGGGUGUGUGAAUGUGCUUGGUUGAACUCAUUUGUGAACUGGUUCUUGCGUGUCUGGUUGCAGUGCCCUGCAUCCCUGUGACUCCGUGGGGAGCUCUCGCUCCUUUCAUGGUUGGAGCGGGUGAUCAGGACAUCUCCCUGACACAACGACGCUGACUAAAUGGUUCUAUUCGACCCGUCUUGAAACACGGACCAAGGAGUCUAACAUAUGUGCGAGUUCACGGGCGGGUAAACCUGCUUGCGCAAUGAAAGUGACUGCUGGGAUCUUUGCACCAGCAACCGACCAUCAUUGAGAGAGGUUUGAGUAUGAGCAUAUCUGUUGGGACCCGAAAGAUGGCUCCUAUG